GUGUCAGCCGCCGCGGUAAUACGUAGGUGGCAAGCGUUGUCCGGAUUUACUGGGCGUAAAGGGUGCGUAGGCGGUUUUUUAAGUCUGAUGUGAAAUCCCACGGCUUAACUUUGGAGGGGCAUUGGAAACUGGGUGACUUGAGUGCAGAAGAGGAAAGUGGAAUUCCUAGUGUAGCGGUGAAAUGCGAUGGGAUUAGGAGAAAUACCAGUGGCGAAGGCGGCUUUCUGGACUGCAACUGACGCUGAGGCACGAAAGCAUGGGGAGCAAAAAGGAGUAGAUACCCUGGUAGUCCACGCCGUAAACGAUGAGUACUAGGUGUAAGGGGGUU
RNAcentral lists this ribosomal RNA (328 nucleotides) under uncultured bacterium. RNAcentral describes it as "bacterial SSU rRNA". It matches the Rfam family "Bacterial small subunit ribosomal RNA", at positions 505 to 832 of the family's 1533-position model. The record is from RNAcentral.